GAACGCUGGCGGCAGGCUUAACACAUGCAAGUCGAACGCCCCGCAAGGGGAGUGGCAGACGGGUGAGUAACACGUGGGAACAUACCCUUCGGUUCGGAACAACGCCGGGAAACUGGCGCUAAUACCGGAUACGGCCUAUGGGCGAAAGAUUGAUCGCCGAAGGAUUGGCCCGCGUUCGAUUAGCUUGUUGGUGAGGUAACGGCUCACCAAGGCGACGAUCGAUAGCUGGUCUGAGAGGAUGGCCAGCCACAUUGGGACUGAGACACGGCCCAAACUCCUACGGGAGGCAGCAGUGGGGAAUAUUGGACAAUGGGCGCAAGCCUGAUCCAGCCAUGCCGCGUGAGUGAUGACGGCCUUAGGGUUGUAAAGCUCUUUCGCACGCGACGAUAAUGACGGUAGCGUGAGAAGAAGCCCCGGCUAACUUCGUGCCAGCAGCCGCGGUAAUACGAAGGGGGCUAGCGUUGUUCGGAAUCACUGGGCGUAAAGGGUGCGUAGGCGGGAUCUUAAGUCAGGGGUGAAAUCCCGAGGCUCAACCUCGGAACUGCCUUUGAUACUGGGGUCCUUGAGUCCGGAAGAGGUGAGUGGAACUGCGAGUGUAGAGGUGAAAUUCGUAGAUAUUCGCAAGAACACCGGUGGCGAAGGCGGCUCACUGG
RNAcentral lists this ribosomal RNA (653 nucleotides) under uncultured Alphaproteobacteria bacterium. RNAcentral's name for it is "bacterial SSU rRNA". It matches the Rfam family "Bacterial small subunit ribosomal RNA", at positions 31 to 732 of the family's 1533-position model. Lineage: Bacteria; Pseudomonadati; Pseudomonadota; Alphaproteobacteria. The record is from RNAcentral.